This 165-nucleotide ribosomal RNA is filed under the name uncultured bacterium. Its description in RNAcentral is "partial 16S ribosomal RNA". It matches the Rfam family "Bacterial small subunit ribosomal RNA", at positions 1320 to 1500 of the family's 1533-position model. The record is from RNAcentral.
UUGAAGUCGGAAUCGCUAGUAAUCGCAGAUCAGCAUGUUGCGGUGAAUACGUUCCCGGGUCUUGUACACACCGCCCGUCAAACCAUGAGAGUCACCAACACCCGAAGUCCGCCUUGGCGGCCUAAGGUGGGGGAGAUGAUUGGGGUUAAGUCGUAACAAGGUAUC